UAUACCAGCCAUUCAUUUUUCACCAGCCAAGGCCCCUAGACAAGCAGCAAAAUAUAGCGCCGUUUCACCCAUUCCUACGCACAGUUUGGUUCUGGUCAUCACCUAUCGCCUCCUCUAUUUUGGUUUGGUUGUAGCCACCACUGCUAUCCUGCGCUUUUGCUGGCGUCGACUACGCGCGACUUGCACAUGACGUGGCAGAUACAGACCCAGCCGUGGUUAGAACCGUUUAUGCUCGCAAUUAUGGAGUGCCAAGUUCCGCCUGUGUGAAGGAUGACUUUUGCGGUGUGGCAAGCAGCUGAAGAUGAUGAGAACAGCAUGUGUGCUUGGAGGAGGAAGGUGGCAUUGUGAUGAAGAAACUGUGAAGAUGGCACGAUGGAUGCAAGCUCUGGUCAGAUCAAGGUAGCACGAUAUGGCCUUGGGGUGGCCUGUUUCUAGUCUAAUUAUUACCAGCACAGCCAGUGUGGAGGAGUGAACGUCGAGAGCACUGUCUGAGUUUCCAGUUGGAGGAGCCGGAAGCCAGAACAAUGACUGAGAAGAAGCAGGCUCAUCUUUCAAGUUUUCGCAGGUUGGCGCCUGAGUUGGCAAGACAUUGCACAGUUACGAGCGGGAGGUCAUGCCGCAUCGUAAAGUACCUCCCCUGCGUGAAUGCACUGUUGAACAAAUUGAAUGCCGAAGUGAAGGAGGUCACGCCCGGCAGGCUCUUUCUGUGCCAGGCAAUGGGCAUUGGCAGCAGUGUGAAAGAUUUUGAGGAUGUGCCUGCAGAGGAAGGUGUUAUCUUCCUCUAUUGCCUGCUGCGGAACCACCACUGCAUAGAAGCUGUUGAGCUCAAGCCUCAUCUGAGACGCAAGUCGGCGCUGGUCAUCUGCGAUGCCCUGUGUUACAACCAGUCCCUGACCUGCCUACGGGUGCACCAUGCAUCCCUGAGCCACAAGGCCACAUUAUCUCUCUUCACCGCUGUGCAUGACUUGCUGAAAAUGCAGCUGCGUGAGCUGUCUCUGGAGAAACUGAAUAUUUCAUUUACGCCGGAGCCAUUGGAGGACCUCAUCUCGAAGCCACCAGAGGAGUUUGUGUCGGAGCCACCACAGAAGUUCAUGUUGGAGCAACCGCACGAGGUUGUGUUCGAGCCACCACAGGAAUUCGUGCCGGAGCCACCAGGGAGCUUCAUGUCAGAGCCACCAGACUACUACAUGUUGGAGCCACCCGAGGACAUCAUGCCGCAGGCACUAGAGAACUUCAAACAGGCACUUUCCAGUACGCAGACCCUCACAAAACUGACGCUCCUGAACGUCCGCGAACGUAUCCCUUGUGCAAGGACAAACGUUUUGACUGCAGCUCUGACUGGUCUACAGGCCAAUAUGAGUGUCACCAGCCUGAAAGUGGACACUAGUUACUGCGAUGGAAUGACGGCAAUGAGGAAUUUUCUUGACAGCACACGGACCCUAGCCGAGCUACACGUCUACUGCAGUUCCGAGUACGACUCUGCGUGCGCGGACUUGCUCUUCAAUGCACUGGAAACCAACAACUCUGUGAAGAGGCUCACCCUCCGCAAAUUUGCCAUGAAGGAUAUGUGGUCGUUCACGGAUCUCUUGGAUGUCAACAAAAACCUGGAGGAUGUGAGCUUCUAUGCCUGUCCCCGCAGUGAAAAGGAGAUCCAAGGUGACCUGAAGACGCUUGACACUUAUCAGUGUUCAAUGAACCUGCGUGGUACCAUGGAGCUUGCCGAACAAGGAUGUCAUAUUCUAGGAUUAAAGGGGCCCGAAGGUUGCAUGAACGCUGUGGUCAAGGCGCUCAAGAGGGGGACGUCGCUGCGCCGCUUGACCCUGGACUGGCCAUGCACACCCCACAUGGUUUAUUGUCUCCUGGCGGCGUCCAAGAACUCACCAUCAUUUACAGAGCUGCACUUGGGUGACGUCAUCGUCGACGAUGCAGAUUUCUUGCAUGGGGUGUUCAUCUACACUCGAGCAGACGUCGUCGUGACCGCAGCGAGGUGUAUGUCUAGCAAUGGCACCAUGAAUAAACUAAUUCCUCUAUGGGACCCUGGAGACACAGCGAGCUUUGUCGACUGCCUGUACAACGUCAACCUGAUGGACGUUGGCCGUGCGUUGUCCUCGGACGACGGGGACUAUGUGACCUCGCUCAGCCUCCAGGUCGGCGAGAAUUCCAGCUCGAAUGCAGUUCACGCACUGUCACUCUACCUGACCUCCACACCCAAGCUACGAGAGCUGCAGCUGCGGCUGGGCCCUAUACCACGAGACUUGCAGCUAGUGCUCCUCUCAGCCUUUCAAAAGAAUGUCAGCAUAGAGCGUCUCUCCAUUUUCGGGACUGAGGACCUUUGCAUCCCUGAGGAUAUACAGAACACGUUGUUCACCUGGAUGGCGAAUAGUAAGCGGCUCUACAGCAUCAAUGUGGAUAUGCACAAAUACGACACUACGCAUCUGCUGGGGGUACUUGCUGCAUCAGAGGGCCAAAACUACGUCCUCACAUCUCUGACCUUUAAGCAAUGUUGGGCGGAUGAGUCGGUCCUCGAGACCACCUACGAAAUGGUGCGUCGCAAUCGCGAGCUUCUGCGGUUUGCUGCCGCAUUCGUUCAUGGGGCAGCAGACAAGCGUGCACUACACGCCUACGAUUCCGUCUACUGGCACCCUCAGCUCCCAGAAGUUGUGCAGAGCAUGGGGUGCAGCGAUCGAGCUGUGGCCAAACAGAUGAUCCAUGAGGCUGCCAUGCCACGUCGAACAGAUUGACUUCCUGAAAUCACGCCGCACCAGUGUUGCUCUCGUGAAACCAGCUGCCAUUCAUGCUUCCAGGCCGUGGCAAGUUCAGCUGGCAGACCUCGGUAAAGAUACUCUGGACCGCAUCGCCUCCUUCCUGAAAGUGGAUGAUGUUGUGAGCGACGACGAGUCAGAAGACGGCAUGUCGCAAUAUCCCCCCACUGAGUAUGAGAGAGCUGCCUGUGGAGACCAGACACAUAAGAGGACAUUUGUUUUGUGAGAGGCAUCUUAUGCAGUGUACAAAAUAAAUCGCUAAAUUGUUGUAAA
Non-coding RNA from Dermacentor albipictus, 3035 nucleotides. The record is from RefSeq and is a predicted model, not a curated record. NCBI's taxonomy places the organism in Eukaryota, Metazoa, Arthropoda, Arachnida, Ixodida, Ixodidae.